ACUUUUCAGCUAGAGUAUGAUAGAGGAAAGCAGAAUUUCUAGUGUAGAGGUGAAAUUCGUAGAUAUUAGAAAGAAUACCAAUUGCGAAGGCAGCUUUCUGGAUCAUUACUGACACUGAGGAACGAAAGCAUGGGUAGCGAAGAGGAUUAGAUACCCUCGUAGUCCAUGCCGUAAACGAUGUGUGUUAGACGUUGGAAAUUUAUUUUCAGUGUCGCAGCGAAAGCGAUAAACACACCGCCUGGGGAGUACGACCGCAAGGUUAAAACUCAAAUGAAUUGACGGGGACCCGCACAAGUAGUGGAGCAUGUGGUUUAAUUCGAAGAUACGCGCAGAACCUUACCAACACUUGACAUGUUCGUCGCGACUCUAAGAGAUUAGAGUUUUCGGUUCGGCCGGACGAAACACAGGUGCUGCAUGGCUGUCGUCAGCUCGUGUCGUGAGAUGUUGGGUUAAGUCCCGCAACGAGCGCAACCCUCACUUUUAGUUGCCAUCAUUAAGUUGGGCACUCUGAAAGAACUGCCAGUGAUAAGCUGGAGGAAGGUGGGGAUGACGUCAAGUCCUCAUGGCCCUUACGUGUUGGGCUACACACGUGCUACAAUGGUAUCUACAACAGGAAGCAAGACUGCGAGGUCAAGCAAAUCCUUAAAAGAUACCUCAGGUUCGGAUUGCACUCUGCAACUCGAGUGCAUGAAGCUGGGAAUUACUAGUAA
Molecule: ribosomal RNA, 710 nt
Filed under: uncultured bacterium
Lineage: Bacteria
Description: bacterial SSU rRNA
Rfam family: Bacterial small subunit ribosomal RNA
Source: RNAcentral